RNAcentral lists this ribosomal RNA (274 nucleotides) under uncultured bacterium. Its description in RNAcentral is "partial 16S ribosomal RNA". It matches the Rfam family "Bacterial small subunit ribosomal RNA", at positions 523 to 796 of the family's 1533-position model. The record is from RNAcentral.
AUACGGAGGGGGUUAGCGUUGUUCGGAAUUACUGGGCGUAAAGCGCACGUAGGCGGACUGGAAAGUUGGGGGGGAAAUCCCGGGGCUCAACCCCGGAACUGCCUCCAAAACUUCCAAUCUAGAGAUCGAGAGAGGUAAGUGGAAUUCCUAGUGUAGAGGUGAAAUUCGUAGAUAUUAGGAGGAACACCAGUGGCGAAGGCGGCUUACUGGCUCGAUACUGACGCUGAGGUGCGAAAGCGUGGGGAGCAAACAGGAUUAGAAACCCUUGUAGUCC